Molecule: non-coding RNA, 30 nt
Filed under: Mus musculus (house mouse)
Lineage: Eukaryota; Metazoa; Chordata; Mammalia; Rodentia; Muridae
Source: RNAcentral
UGGCCUCUAUAGACACCAGGAAUGCCAUUA